GAUUGCCUCAGUAACGGCGAGUGAAGCGGCANCAGCUCAAAUUUGAAAUCUGGCCCCAGGCCCGAGUUGUAAUUUGCAGAGGAUGCUCUUGGCGAGGUGCCUUCCGAGUUCCCUGGAACGGGACGCCAUAGAGGGUGAGAGCCCCGUACGGUUGGACACCAAGUCUUUGUAAAGCUCUUUCGACGAGUCGAGUAGUUUGGGAAUGCUGCUCAAAAUGGGAGGUAUAUUUCUUCUAAAGCUAAAUAUUGGCCAGAGACCGAUAGCGCACAAGUAGAGUGAUCGAAAGAUGAAAAGCACUUUGAAAAGAGGGUUAAACAGCACGUGAAAUUGUUAAAAGGGAAGCGCUUAUGACCAGACUUGCGCCCGGUGAAUCACCCAGCUCUCGCGGCUGGGGCACUUUGCCGGCUCAGGCCAGCAUCAGCUCGCUGUCGGGGACAAAAGCUUCGGGAACGUAGCUCUCUUCGGGGAGUGUUAUAGCCCGUUGCAUAAUACCCUUCGGCGGGCUGAGGUACGCGCUCCGCAAGGAUGCUG
Molecule: ribosomal RNA, 531 nt
Filed under: uncultured fungus
Lineage: Eukaryota; Fungi
Description: eukaryotic LSU rRNA
Rfam family: Eukaryotic large subunit ribosomal RNA
Source: RNAcentral